This 452-nucleotide long non-coding RNA is filed under the name Androctonus crassicauda. Lineage: Eukaryota; Metazoa; Arthropoda; Arachnida; Scorpiones; Buthidae. The record is from RNAcentral.
CUUACCACCCAGUCAUCAUCCCUAAUUGGUCGAACGACCCCAUCAGAUACAAAAAAGCCGCUUUCAGUUCAUUUUUUAAAAGAGCGUACCAAUACUGCACGAAUGAAGAAGACUAUCUCGAGGAGACAAAUUACAUAAUUACCACAGGGAUUAAAUACGGAUACACCAAAGGAUUUAUCCAGUCAAUAAGACGUAAUGUUGGAAACAUAAUGAAGCAACCAACACAUCCAAAUAGAGACAACCUAGCCGUACAAGAGACCCCGGAAGAAAAAGAAAACGAAAAAUAUGCUGCCCUACCGUUCCACCUAACUAGGAUGCCCGUUGUAAAGAAAAUAGCAAAAGCAUCACAAACAAAAUUAGUUCCUAAAAGAGGCCCUACAGUCUUCUUCUACCUAAGGAACGACAAAGACCACCUAGAUGACAAGAAUAAAUCAGGCAUAUACACCACUCCA